UGCGUAGGUGGCGCCGUAAGUCGGGUGUGAAAUUUCGGAGCUUAACUCCGAAACUGCAUUCGAUACUGCGGUGCUUGAGGACUGGAGAGGAGACUGGAAUUCAUGGUGUAGCAGUGAAAUGCGUAGAGAUCAUGAGGAAGACCAGUGGCGAAGGCGGGUCUCUGGACGGUUCCUGCACUGAGGCAAGGCCAGGGGAGCAAAC
This 202-nucleotide ribosomal RNA is filed under the name uncultured bacterium. RNAcentral describes it as "partial 16S ribosomal RNA". It matches the Rfam family "Bacterial small subunit ribosomal RNA", at positions 568 to 773 of the family's 1533-position model. The record is from RNAcentral.